ACGGAGGGUGCAAGCGUUGUCCGGAUUUAUUGGGUUUAAAGGGUGCGUAGGCGGCCCUGUAAGUCAGUGGCGAAAGCCUCCAGCUCAACUGGAGAACUGCCAUUGAUACUGCAGGGCUUGAGUACAGACGAGGUUGGCGGAAUUGAUAGUGUAGCGGUGAAAUGCAUAGAUACUAUCAAGAACUCCGAUUGCGUAGGCAGCUAACUAGGCUGUAACUGACGCUGAGGCACGAAAGCUAGGGGAGCAAACAGGA
This 253-nucleotide ribosomal RNA is filed under the name uncultured prokaryote. RNAcentral describes it as "partial 16S ribosomal RNA". It matches the Rfam family "Bacterial small subunit ribosomal RNA", at positions 525 to 777 of the family's 1533-position model. The record is from RNAcentral.